UCCCUUCUGCAGCACAUAUACUAAAAUUGGAACGAAACAGAGAAGAUUAGCAUGGCCCCUGCACAAGGAUGACAGGCAAAUUCAUGAAGUGUUCCAUAUUUUU
RNAcentral lists this small nuclear RNA (103 nucleotides) under Prolemur simus (greater bamboo lemur). Lineage: Eukaryota; Metazoa; Chordata; Mammalia; Primates; Lemuridae. The record is from RNAcentral.